CCUACGGGAGGCAGCAGUGGGGAAUAUUGGACAAUGGGGGCAACCCUGAUCCAGCCAUGCCGCGUGUGUGAAGAAGGCCUUAGGGUUGUAAAGCGCUUUCGGCGGGGAAGAUGAUGACGGUACCCGCAGAAGAAGCUCCGGCUAACUCCGUGCCAGCAGCCGCGGUAAUACGGAGGGGGCUAGCGUUGUUCGGAAUUACUGGGCGUAAAGGGCGCGUAGGCGGAUUGUCAAGUCAGAGGUGAAAGCCCUGGGCUCAACCUGGGAACUGCCUUUGAAACUAACGGUCUAGAGUCCGAGAGAGGAUGGCGGAAUUCCCAGUGUAGAGGUGAAAUUCGUAGAUAUUGGGAAGAACACCAGCGGCGAAGGCGGCCCUCUGGACGGUGACUGACGCUGAGACGCGAAAGCGUGGGGAGCAAACAGGAUUGGAUACCCUGGUAGUCCACGCCGUAAACGUUGAGAACUAGAUGUUGGGAGGGUUACCUCUCAGUGUCGCAGCUAACGCAUUAAGUUCUCCGCCUGGGGAGUACGCCGGCAACGGUAAAACUCAAAGGAAUUGACGG
This 560-nucleotide ribosomal RNA is filed under the name uncultured Alphaproteobacteria bacterium. Its description in RNAcentral is "bacterial SSU rRNA". It matches the Rfam family "Bacterial small subunit ribosomal RNA", at positions 338 to 916 of the family's 1533-position model. Lineage: Bacteria; Pseudomonadati; Pseudomonadota; Alphaproteobacteria. The record is from RNAcentral.